UUGAGUUUUAAGGUUAUUUGUACUUGCUUAUUUAUUUAUAUAAGGUACGGAUUUUUAAAUUUCUUCUACAUUUAUUUAUUAAUUUAUUAGAAAAUCGACGGUAGUGUCUCCCUUUUACAAUGUUUAGUUAAAUGUAACCAGUAAGAAGGAAAUAAAAAGUUAAUUAACAAAGUAAACGAAAAUGCUUCUUUUGAGCAGAAGAAUGUAAUGUAAACAGAAAAGUUUUUCCUGAGUUUUAUAAGGUGGUUUAUCUUUUGCAUCGAUAAUCAUAUAAAAUAAGAGGCGAGGUAUAAUGGACGAAAAUCUAUUCUAAUCUGUAGACGAUUUUGAAGAACGUUUUUUAAUUUUUGAAGAUCUGAAAAAAUUUACAUUAGUUGAGAAGUCAUUAAUAUUUACAAGAAACAUCAUUUCGGAUGUAAAGACACAGAAGAGUAGGUCGCAAAAUACAUACAUUUUAUGCAGUCCAGGCAUAAAAACAAUCUGGUUUAUCAUUAGUGCAGUUGGUCAAUUACAAAAUGUACAUAAAAUGAUAUUGUUUGAAAUUGAGGAAGCUAAAGCUGUUAAUACCGAAUACUACUGUAUCAAUCAAGAGAUAUAUGUUGCCAUUGAUAUUGGUAUCAUAGAUUGAGUAUAUAAUGUACCUGGUGCGAAGCUUCCUGUUUGUAAUAGAAAAGUCAAUCCUGAUCAUGAUAUGGUUUUUAAAAGGGGAUUCCACAUACCAUAGAUCAAAGAUAUUAUAAUUAAAUAGACCCAUCACUUCAUGUGAUGGCACUUCAAAUGCCGUCUAUAUACAGAACAAAGAAUUAUAAUAUGAAAUGAAUGUCAUCAACUGUGGUAGGGCAUUGUGAUUUCAAGGUAGGUUAGGUUAUACAAUGUUAUACAAUGCCCCCCCCCCCCAACUAUGGCUGAGACCGGAAGGCGUACUAAACGAAUGCAUAAUGUAUUUGUUAAUACACAUUUAAGCGACCAGCAGAUAAAAAACAUUUAAAUCAAAAUAUGUAUUUGUUUAAUGUAUGUACGUACAUAAUGUACGCAUCCAUAUAAUCUAUUGUAACAUCUAGUGCAAAAAGUCUAAUUUUUUAUUG
This 1085-nucleotide long non-coding RNA is filed under the name Agrilus planipennis (emerald ash borer). RNAcentral describes it as "uncharacterized LOC108741882, transcript variant X2". Lineage: Eukaryota; Metazoa; Arthropoda; Insecta; Coleoptera; Buprestidae. The record is from RNAcentral.